GAUGAACGCUGACAGCAUGCUUAACACAUGCAAGUAUACUUGAACUUCGGUAUGGUUGGCGGCCAGGCGAGUAACGCGUAAAGAACUUGCCUCACAGAUAGGGACAACAUCUGGAAACGAAUGCUAAUACCAGAUAUUAUGAUUUUAGGGAAUCCCAGGAUUAUGAAAGUUAUAUGUGCUGUGAGAGUGCUUUGCGUACCAUUAGCUAGUUGGAGAGGUAACGGCUCACCAAGGCGAUGAUGGGUAGCCGGCCUGAGAGGGUGAACGGCCACAAGGGGACUGAGACACAGCACUAACGCAUACUGGGGGCAGCAGUGGAGAAUAAUGGACAAUGGACCAAUAGUCUGAUCCAGUAUUUCUGUGUUCACGAUGACGUGUUUCGGAAGGUAAAGUGUGUUCAGUGGGGGAGAACAAAAUGACGGUACCAACAGAAGAAGUGACGGCUAAAUACGUG
This 454-nucleotide ribosomal RNA is filed under the name uncultured bacterium. Its description in RNAcentral is "partial 16S ribosomal RNA". It matches the Rfam family "Bacterial small subunit ribosomal RNA", at positions 28 to 507 of the family's 1533-position model. The record is from RNAcentral.